UUUGAAAUAUUGAAGAUUUUAUCAACCCUAAAAAAUCCAUUACCAUGAUCAAUAAAUGUCAUCAACUAUCAUCUACAACAAGGGUACAAAUCUCAAAUUAAAAUGGUCAAAAUAAAAUAAAUAAAAUGAAAAUAAAAUACAUGGAUAGAAAAUAAUUAAAUGUAUUUACAACAUGUGAGAUUAAAAAGAAAUAAGUGAUGAAAUAAAUCAAAUAAAAAUGGGAAGAAAAUAAAUGAAAAUAAAGAAAAUAAGAAAUAAAAAGGAAAAGACUGAAAAAC
Molecule: long non-coding RNA, 278 nt
Filed under: Lathyrus oleraceus (garden pea)
Lineage: Eukaryota; Viridiplantae; Streptophyta; Magnoliopsida; Fabales; Fabaceae
Description: Pisum sativum (pea) long non-coding RNA (PSAT_LNC029908)
Source: RNAcentral